ACGGAAGGCAGCAGUGGGGGAUAUUGCACAAUGGGGGAAACCCUGAUGCAGCGACGCCGCGUGAGUGAUGAAGUAUUUCGGUAUGUAAAGCUCUAUCAGCAGGGAAGAAAAUGACGGUACCUGACUAAGAAGCUCCGGCUAAAUACGUGCCAGCAGCCGCGGUAAUACGUAUGGAGCAAGCGUUAUCCGGAUUUACUGGGUGUAAAGGGAGCGUAGACGGUUUGCCAAGUCUGAUGUGAAAGCUUGGGGCUCAACCCCGAAACUGCAUUGGAAACUGGUAGACUAGAGUGUCGGAGAGGUAAGUGGAAUUCCUAGUGUAGCGGUGAAAUGCGUAGAUAUUAGGAGGAACACCAGUGGCGAAGGCGGCUUACUGGACGAUAACUGACGUUGAGGCUCGAAAGCGUGGGUAGCAAACAGGAUUAGAUACCCUGGUA
This 434-nucleotide ribosomal RNA is filed under the name uncultured Lachnospiraceae bacterium. Its description in RNAcentral is "partial 16S ribosomal RNA". It matches the Rfam family "Bacterial small subunit ribosomal RNA", at positions 341 to 792 of the family's 1533-position model. Lineage: Bacteria; Bacillati; Bacillota; Clostridia; Lachnospirales; Lachnospiraceae. The record is from RNAcentral.